Molecule: long non-coding RNA, 854 nt
Filed under: Physcomitrium patens
Lineage: Eukaryota; Viridiplantae; Streptophyta; Bryopsida; Funariales; Funariaceae
Description: long non-coding RNA (PPAT_LNC011249)
Source: RNAcentral
AAUAGAACAUUUAUUCUUUCUAUAUGGAUAGAAAUAGUCAUGACUAAGACUACUCUAAUACCUAUAAGCACGUUGUUGUAAUAUGUGAAGUCUUGCUUGAGAAUGCUCCGCGCACCUAACUGUAGAAGGAAGAAUGGAAAUUACAAUAACAAAAUCCUAAUUCUAAUAGAAUACUAACAAUGCUCUAAUUAGACUAUAAUAAUACUAAGCAAGCUUAAUCAAAUUCAAAAAAACCUCAAAGAAAUUUCAAACAAAUAAUAAGAAUUCUUAAAGAAAUAUUAGAAUGAUCACAAUUAUCACUCAAAUACAUCUCAAUUCAAUCUCAAUUUAAUUUUAGUUAAAAUUCUAUUGAACUUCAUUCAAAUUUUAGGCCAAAACUAAUUGAAUCUUAAAUCCUAAUAAAAUCCUAAACCUUGAAUCAAACCCUAAACAAACCUUAAAUCAAAUCCCAAUCAAAUCCUCAACCAAAUCCUAACCAAACCCUAAAUCAAAUCCUAAACCCUAAAUCAAAUCCUAACCAAAUCCUAAUCCAAAUCCUAAACCUUAAACCAAACCCUAAUCAAACCCUAAAUCCUAAAUAAAACCUUAACCAAAUCCUAAAUCCCAAAUGAAAUCCUAAUCAAAUCCUAAACCAAACCCUAAUCCAAACCCCAAAUCCUAAACCAAAUCCUAAAUCAAAUUCUAAUCCAAGUCCUAAAUAAAACCCUAAUUAAAUUCUAAAUCAAAUCCUAAUACAAACCUUAAAUCCUAAAUCAAAUCCUAACUAAACCCUAAAUCCUAAACCAAAUCCUAACCAAAUCCUAAAUCCUAAAAUAAACCCUAAUCCAAAUCCUAAACCCUAAACCAAAUUCUAA